This 467-nucleotide ribosomal RNA is filed under the name uncultured bacterium. Its description in RNAcentral is "partial 16S ribosomal RNA". It matches the Rfam family "Bacterial small subunit ribosomal RNA", at positions 28 to 506 of the family's 1533-position model. The record is from RNAcentral.
GACGAACGCUGGCGGCGUGCUUAACACAUGCAAGUCGAACGGAAAGGCCCUGCUUUUGUGGGGUGCUCGAGUGGCGAACGGGUGAGUAACACGUGAGUAACCUGCCCUUGACUUUGGGAUAACUUCAGGAAACUGGGGCUAAUACCGGAUAGGAGCUCCUGCCGCAUGGUGGGGGUUGGAAAGUUUCGGCGGUUGGGGAUGGACUCGCGGCUUAUCAGCUUGUUGGUGGGGUAGUGGCUUACCAAGGCUUUGACGGGUAGCCGGCCUGAGAGGGUGACCGGCCACAUUGGGACUGAGAGACGGCCCAGACUCCUACGGGAGGCAGCAGUGGGGAAUAUUGCACAAUGGGCGGAAGCCUGAUGCAGCAACGCCGCGUGCGGGAUGACGGCCUUCGGGUUGUAAACCGCUUUCGCCUGUGACGAAGCGUGAGUGACGGUAAUGGGUAAAGAAGCACCGGCUAACUACGU